Small nucleolar RNA from Dipodomys ordii (Ord's kangaroo rat), 128 nucleotides. The record is from Ensembl. NCBI's taxonomy places the organism in Eukaryota, Metazoa, Chordata, Mammalia, Rodentia, Heteromyidae.
UGUGUGUAUGUGUGUUUUUGUUUGAUUUGUAACAAAGCCUUGAAGACAGAUAUACACAGUAAAUCCUCUUUUGCAACCCAGAACUCAUAGCUGAGUAUGAGUUUUUGGUACAUUUAAGAAGGAAUAUG